AUAAGACUAAUUGGUAGAUAGGUUGGAGGUGUAAGUAUAGUGAUAUAUUGAGCUGACCAAUACUAAUAAAUCGAGGGCUUAACUAU
RNAcentral lists this ribosomal RNA (86 nucleotides) under Clostridium sp. RNAcentral describes it as "partial 23S ribosomal RNA". It matches the Rfam family "Bacterial large subunit ribosomal RNA", at positions 2839 to 2925 of the family's 2925-position model. The record is from RNAcentral. Lineage: Bacteria; Bacillati; Bacillota; Clostridia; Eubacteriales; Clostridiaceae.